This 555-nucleotide ribosomal RNA is filed under the name Astylosternus diadematus (Victoria night frog). RNAcentral's name for it is "partial 16S ribosomal RNA". It matches the Rfam family "Bacterial large subunit ribosomal RNA", at positions 1819 to 2600 of the family's 2925-position model. Lineage: Eukaryota; Metazoa; Chordata; Amphibia; Anura; Arthroleptidae. The record is from RNAcentral.
CGCCUCUUGAUUAUCAUAAGAGGUCCAGCCUGCCCAGUGAUCCAAUUUAACGGCCGCGGUACCCUAACCGUGCGAAGGUAGCACAAUCACUUGUUCCCUAAAUAGGGACUAGUAUGAACGGCACCACGAAGACUAUACUGUCUCCCCCUUGCAAUCAAUGAAACUGAUCUCCCCGUGAAGAAGCGGGGAUAAACCUAUAAGACGAGAAGACCCCAUGGAGCUUAAAACUCAGUACCACUUACUCUUUUCUACUUCAUAAUAACCCAGUAUGCAUGACUACUAGUUUUUGGUUGGGGUGACCGCGGAGUAAAACUUAACCUCCACAAUGAACAGAAUUAAAUUCUUAACUCUAGACCUACACCUCAAAAAAUUAAAACAUUAACAUAACUUGACCCAAUUAUUGAUCAACGAACCAAGUUACCCUGGGGAUAACAGCGCAAUCCAUUUUAAGAGCCCCUAUCGACAAAUGGGUUUACGACCUCGAUGUUGGAUCAGGGUAUCCUAGUGGUGCAGCCGCUACUAAAGGUUCGUUUGUUCAACGAUUAAAACCCUACG